UCCACACCCUGCCCCUGGAGCCCCAGUCCAGCCCCAGAACAGCCCAGAAAAGCCAAAGGGUGAACACAUCUUGGCUCUACAUCCUCUUGGAAUCUCUAUGAGCUGACCACCACUGGAAACAGGAGUGCAACCUCCUACCAAAAGCAGAAUCUGCAGAAGAGACUACAUCCAAGCAAUAAUGCAAUGAAAAAGUAUGAAGAGAAGCCCAGGUGGCCACCUUGCAAAUUUCCAAUGUGGAAGCCUUCGACCUCUCCGCCCAAGAAGCAGCUAUAGUCCUAGUGUAAUGAGCUUUACAAACCCUGGGAGCCUCUUUACCCUUAACUACAUACGCCUCUCUAAUACAAUCCCUUAACCAUCUAGCUAAGCAAAUCUUAGAAGCCAUUUGACCCCUCUUAAGACCCCCUAAGAGUACAAACAAUCUGUCAGAAGAUAUGAAAUCUUUGAUUCUUCUGUGAUAAACCCUAAGUGUUCUUCUUACAUCCAAUUUAUGCAGCCGUUGCUCUUUGUCAUUGCUGGGUUUAGGGAAAAAUGAGGGCCAAGAAACCGUCUGGUUUAGAUAAAACUCAGAUGCCAUCUUUGGGACAAAAAAAAAUUUUAAAAGAGGAACCAUCCAAAGGACUACUUUGUUUCUGAUGGAACUUUAUACAUGUUCUAAAUACCAAAAUAGAAGUACUAUGGAAUAUAAAACAAAAAAACAAUUGACAUUGAAACAGCUAUAAACAUACCACUUGACACAAGAACAUGAAAAAAACAUUAUUUUUGUUGCGUCUCUGUGUGAGUUACAUAGAUUAAAAGUCUCCUAUGAAUACUAAAAGCAACCAAAAAAUAAAGGAAACAAGUACAAGG
Cinclus cinclus is the source of this 846-nucleotide long non-coding RNA. RefSeq lists it as uncharacterized. The record is from RefSeq and is a predicted model, not a curated record. The transcript has 2 exons. NCBI's taxonomy places the organism in Eukaryota, Metazoa, Chordata, Aves, Passeriformes, Cinclidae.